This 1137-nucleotide long non-coding RNA is filed under the name Ananas comosus (pineapple). RNAcentral describes it as "long non-coding RNA (ACOM_LNC035475)". Lineage: Eukaryota; Viridiplantae; Streptophyta; Magnoliopsida; Poales; Bromeliaceae. The record is from RNAcentral.
UUCAUCAGAUUUGGAUAUUUCUACACCGUUAAACUUGUAACCGGCUCACCACGGCCGUUAAAAUUAUUGAUUUUGAGCCUCUUCGAUCACUAGGCAAAUGAUAUCGAAAAAUCGCAAAAUUUAUUUUCUAGGUACUUCAAAUACUCUAGAUCAACUCUAACAGAGCCGAUCGUCGAUUCGAAAGUCCGAACAUCGAAAACGGCUUGGAAGCACGGAGGCCUCCGUGCUUCCAUAAGCAUACCAGCACAACUAUAUAUAUAUAUAUAUAUAUAUAUAUAUGAGUAGGACUGCUAUGCUCUCAGGAGCACGGAGGCCGCACGGAGGCCUCCGUGCUCCUGAGCCGUUUUCGAUGAUGGAAUUUUCGAAUCGACGAUCGGCUCCGUUAGAUUUGAUCUAGCGUAUUUGAAGUUUCUAGAAAAUAAUUUUUGCGAUUUUUCAAUAUCAUUUAACUAACAAUCGAAAGGUAUCAAAAUCAAUAAUUUUUAACGGCUGAAAAUAAAAAUCUUAUAAAAAGUGGUGAUAUAGCACUAAAAUUUUCAAUCAGAAAUAUUAAUUUUGUUGUAGAUAGUAUAAAGAAUUUUGUAUUAAAAUUUCAUUUGAUUUGAAUACUUCUACACCGUUAAACUUGAAAACGACAAAUAUCAAACCAUUAAAAAUUAUUGAUUUUGAAUCUUUUCGAUCACUAAGUAAAUAAUAUCAAAAAAUAGCAAAAAUUAUUUUCUAAAAACUUUAAAUAUCCUAGAUCAAGUCUAGCAGAGCCGAUCGUCGAUUCGAAAAUUCCAUCAUCGAAAACAGCUCAGGAGCACGGAAGCCUCCGUAUUCCUGAGAGCACAGCAGCUCUGCUAUAUAUAUAUAUAGUAGAGCUACUAUACUAACGAAAGUAUAAAGUAGUUGGUCCUUUCGAUUUGUUAUCCUUUGGAUCAAAGACUCUACGGUUGGGAUGAUAACUGUCCUCUAAGGGUUGAGUGGUCCCUAGGGUUGAGUGGUCCCUAUUGGUUAAUAAUAUUAAUCCAAUAAUUAGAUAUGAUCAAUGGGAUUAAUUUAAGAACUGAAAAAUCAAAAGCACCAACUAUUUUAUGCUUCCAAUAGCAUAGUAGCUCUACUCUCUCUCUCUCUCUCUCUCUCUCUCUCUAUAUA